GAUGAACGCUGGCGGCGUGCCUAAUACAUGCAAGUCGAGCGAACAGACGAGGAGCUUGCUCCUCUGACGUUAGCGGCGGACGGGUGAGUAACACGUGGAUAACCUACCUAUAAGACUGGGAUAACUUCGGGAAACCGGAGCUAAUACCGGAUAAUAUAUUGAACCGCAUGGUUCAAUAGUGAAAGACGGUUUUGCUGUCACUUAUAGAUGGAUCCGCGCCGCAUUAGCUAGUUGGUAAGGUAACGGCUUACCAAGGCAACGAUGCGUAGCCGACCUGAGAGGGUGAUCGGCCACACUGGAACUGAGACACGGUCCAGACUCCUACGGGGGGCAGCAGUAGGGAAUCUUCCGCAAUGGGCGAAAGCCUGACGGAGCAACGCGCGUGAGUGAUGAAGGUCUUCGGAUCGUAAAACUCUGUUAUUAGGGAAGAACAAAUGUGUAAGUAACUAUGCACGUCUUGACGGUACCUAAUCAGAAAGCCACGGCUAACUACGUG
RNAcentral lists this ribosomal RNA (496 nucleotides) under uncultured bacterium. RNAcentral's name for it is "partial 16S ribosomal RNA". It matches the Rfam family "Bacterial small subunit ribosomal RNA", at positions 28 to 507 of the family's 1533-position model. The record is from RNAcentral.